AGUGAACGCUGGCGGCAGGCCUAACACAUGCAAGUCGAACGGCACCACAGUAGGUGCUUGCUGUUACGGGUGGCGAGUGGCGGACGGGUGCGGAAUACAUGGGAAUCUACAUUUUCGCGGGUGAUAACGUAGGGAAACUUACGCUAGUACCGCAUACGUCCUAUGGGGGAAGGCAGGCGACCUUUUGGCUUUUCGCGUUUGGUAGUGCCGGUCUCGGAUUACGUAGUUGGGGUGGUAAGGGCUGACCAAGGCGCAGAUCCGUAGCUGGCCUGAGGGGAUGAUUCGCCAGACUGGAACUGAGACACGGUCCAGACUCCGACGGUGGGACGCAGUGGGGAAUCUUAGACGAGGGGGGAGAGCCUGAUCCAGCCAUACCGCCUAAGUGAAGAAGGACUUCGGCUUGUAGAACGCUGUUGUUGGGAGAGAAGAGCAACACGUUCAUACGCCACUGUUCUGACGGUACCCAAAGAAUAAGCCCCGGCUAACUUCGUG
Molecule: ribosomal RNA, 492 nt
Filed under: uncultured bacterium
Lineage: Bacteria
Description: partial 16S ribosomal RNA
Rfam family: Bacterial small subunit ribosomal RNA
Source: RNAcentral